This 1277-nucleotide ribosomal RNA is filed under the name metagenome. RNAcentral's name for it is "bacterial LSU rRNA". It matches the Rfam family "Bacterial large subunit ribosomal RNA", at positions 1633 to 2925 of the family's 2925-position model. The record is from RNAcentral.
CAUGAUGGCCUGUACCCGAAACCGACACAGGUGGGGUGGUAGAGAAUACCGAGGGGCGCGAGGUAACUCUCUCUAAGGAACUCGGCAAAAUGGCCCCGUAACUUCGGGAGAAGGGGUGCCACCGCAAGGUGGUCGCAGUGAAGAGGCCCAGGCGACUGUUUACCAAAAACACAGGUCUCCGCUAAGUCGCAAGACGAUGUAUGGGGGCUGACGCCUGCCCAGUGCCGGAAGGUUAAGGAAGCUGGUCAGCGCAAGCGAAGCUGGCGACUGAAGCCCCGGUGAACGGCGGCCGUAACAAUAACGGUCCUAAGGUAGCGAAAUUCCUUGUCGGGUAAGUUCCGACCCGCACGAAAGGCGUAACGAUCUGGGCGCUGUCUCGGAGAGAGGCUCGGCGAAAUAGAAUUGUCUGUGAAGAUGCGGACUACGUGCACCCGGACAGAAAGACCCUAUGAAGCUUUACUGUAGCUUGGUAUUGUGCCCGGGCUCUGAAUGCGCAGGAUAGGUGGGAGGCUUUGAUCCAUGGCUUGCGGGUCAUGGUGAGCCAACGGUGAGAUACCACUCUUUCAGAGCUAGGGUUCUAACGGUCACCCGUCAUCCGGGGACCGGACAGUAUCAGGUGGGCAGUUUAACUGGGGCGGUCGCCUCCUAAAAGGUAACGGAGGCGCGCAAAGGUUUGCUCAGGCUGGUUGGAAAUCAGCCGACGAGUGCAAAAGCAGAAGCAAGCUUGACUGUGAGACCUACAAGUCGAACAGGGACGAAAGUCGGCUUUAGUGAUCCGACGGUUCUGAGUGGAAGGGCCGUCGCUCAACGGAUAAAAGUUACUCUAAGGAUAACAGGCUGAUCUCCCCCAAGAGUUCACAUCAACGGGGAGGUUUGGCACCUCGAUGUCGGCUCAUCGCAACCUGGGGCUGAAGUCGGUCCCAAGGGUUGGGCUGUUCGCCCAUUAAAGCGGUACGCGAGCUGGGUUCAGAACGUCGUGAGACAGUUCGGUCCAUAUCCGGUGCACGCGCAGGAACAUUGAGAGGAUUUCUCCUAGUACGAGAGGACCGGGAGGAACGCACCUCUGGUGUGCCAGUUAUCGUGCCAACGGUAAACGCUGGGUAGCCAUGUGCGGAGUGGAUAACCGCUGAAAGCAUCUAAGUGGGAAGCCCACCUCAAGAUGAGUGUUCCCAUGGCAUAAGCCAGUAAGGUCACGGGAAGAACACCCGUUGAUAGGCUCUACGUGGAAGCCGGGUAACCGGUGAAGCGGAGGAGUACUAAUAGACCGAGGGCUUGAU